AGGAAAGGUGUUGCCACAAUAGGUGCCCUCACUGCCCAGAGGUGGAACUCAGCAGCCCAGGCGCCGCCGCCCUGAGUAUCCUGCGGAAAAUGUGAGAACUCUGGGGAGCCAUUGCUGCUGCAAGGACCCGCGGGCGGGCUACCGCGCUGGUGGGGGGGCUCUGUCCAAACCUUGCGUCCUCGACUUCCCAUCCGCCUCAUAAAGGGUUGGUGAAGACCAUCUCAAGGACCGCACGAACUGGUCCUUCAAGUCCCAGGAAACCGAAACAACAACCGAGGCGGCUCUCUGUCCGGGCCACUUCCGGAGCGAGCUCUGCGGCGGACCUCUGGCUCCCGCUCCUUUGGGCACCCGCGGUGCGGCCAGACCGCUCCUGCCAGCGACUCUCUGGCUGGCAAGGGAGAGGAGGUGGAGUUCAGACUGGCCC
This 424-nucleotide long non-coding RNA is filed under the name Homo sapiens (human). RNAcentral's name for it is "HSALNT0152308". Lineage: Eukaryota; Metazoa; Chordata; Mammalia; Primates; Hominidae. The record is from RNAcentral.